This 119-nucleotide non-coding RNA is filed under the name pig gut metagenome. Its description in RNAcentral is "FMN riboswitch (RFN element)". It matches the Rfam family "FMN riboswitch aptamer (RFN element)". Rfam says of the family: The RFN element is a highly conserved domain that is found frequently in the 5'-untranslated regions of prokaryotic mRNAs that encode for flavin mononucleotide (FMN) biosynthesis and transport proteins. The record is from RNAcentral.
CUUCGGGGUAGGGUGUAAUUCCCAGCCGGCGGUAAUUGUAUAUGCUACAUAAGCCCGCGAGCCAUAAGGCAUGACUUGGUGUGAUUCCAAGGCCGACAGUACAGUCUGGAUGGAAGAAG